GGAAUAUUGCACAAUGGGCGCAAGCCUGAUGCAGCCAUGCCGCGUGUAUGAAGAAGGCCUUCGGGUUGUAAAGUACUUUCAGCGGGGAGGAAGGCGGUGCGGUUAAUAACCUUGUCGAUUGACGUUACCCGCAGAAGAAGCACCGGCUAACUCCGUGCCAGCAGCCGCGGUAAUACGGAGGGUGCAAGCGUUAAUCGGAAUUACUGGGCGUAAAGCGCACGCAGGCGGUCUGUCAAGUCGGAUGUGAAAUCCCCGGGCUCAACCUGGGAACUGCAUUCGAAACUGGCAGGCUAGAGUCUUGUAGAGGGGGGUAGAAUUCCAGGUGUAGCGGUGAAAUGCGUAGAGAUCUGGAGGAAUACCGGUGGCGAAGGCGGCCCCCUGGACAAAGACUGACGCUCAGGUGCGAAAGCGUGGGGAGCAAACAGGA
Molecule: unclassified non-coding RNA, 427 nt
Filed under: plant metagenome
Description: partial contains 5.8S ribosomal RNA, internal transcribed spacer 2, and large subunit ribosomal RNA
Rfam family: Bacterial small subunit ribosomal RNA
Source: RNAcentral